GGAUUAGAUACCCUGGUAGUCCACGCCGUAAACGAUGUCAACUAGCUGUUUGUGUUCUUGAAACGUGAGUAGCGUAGCUAACGCGCUAAGUUGACCGCCUGGGGAGUACGGCCGCAAGGUUAAAACUCAAAUGAAUUGACGGGGGCCCGCACAAGCGGUGGAGCAUGUGGUUUAAUUCGAUGCAACGCGAAGAACCUUACCUACACUUGACAUGCAGAGAACUUUCUAGAGAUAGAUUGGUGCCUUCGGGAACUCUGACACAGGUGCUGCAUGGCUGUCGUCAGCUCGUGCCG
Molecule: ribosomal RNA, 293 nt
Filed under: uncultured bacterium
Lineage: Bacteria
Description: partial 16S ribosomal RNA
Rfam family: Bacterial small subunit ribosomal RNA
Source: RNAcentral